UAGGGAAUCUUCCGCAAUGGACGCAAGUCUGACGGAGCAACGCCGCGUGAGUGAAGAAGGUUUUCGGAUCGUAAAACUCUGUUGUUAGAGAAGAACAAGUGCUAGAGUAACUGUUAGCGCCUUGACGGUAUCUAACCAGAAAGCCACGGCUAACUACGUGCCAGCAGCCGCGGUAAUACGUAGGUGGCAAGCGUUGUCCGGAUUUAUUGGGCGUAAAGCGAGCGCAGGCGGUUCCUUAAGUCUGAUGUGAAAGCCCCCGGCUCAACCGGGGAGGGUCAUUGGAAACUGGGGAACUUGAGUGCAGAAGAGGAGAGUGGAAUUCCAUGUGUAGCGGUGAAAUGCGUAGAUAUAUGGAGGAACACCAGUGGCGAAGGCGACUCUCUGGUCUGUAACUGACGCUGAGGCUCGAAAGCGUGGGUAGCAAACAGGAUUAGAUACCCUGGUAGUCCACGCCGUAAACGAUGAGUGCUAAGUGUUGGAGGGUUUCCGCCCUUCAGUGCUGCAGUUAACGCAUUAAGCACUCCGCCUGGGGAGUANCGACCGCAAGGUUGAAACUC
RNAcentral lists this ribosomal RNA (557 nucleotides) under uncultured bacterium. Its description in RNAcentral is "bacterial SSU rRNA". It matches the Rfam family "Bacterial small subunit ribosomal RNA", at positions 355 to 902 of the family's 1533-position model. The record is from RNAcentral.